Molecule: ribosomal RNA, 538 nt
Filed under: uncultured marine eukaryote
Lineage: Eukaryota
Description: SSU rRNA
Rfam family: Eukaryotic small subunit ribosomal RNA
Source: RNAcentral
GGUUAAAAAGCUCGUAGUUGGAUUUCUGUUGAGGGCGACCGGUGUACACCUCGUGUAUUAUUUGGUUCGGUCUCGGCAUCCUCUUGGGGAACGUUUCUGGACUUUAUUGGACAGGGCGAGAUUCAAGACUUUUACUUUGAGGAAAUUAGAGUGUUCACGGCAGGCAAGCGCUUUGAAUACAUUAGCAUGGAAUAAUAAUAUAGGACCUUCGUUCUAUUUUGUUGGUUUCUAGAACUUAGGUAAUGAUUAAUAGGGACAAUUGGGGGCAUUCGUAUUAACGCGUCAGAGGUGGAAUUCUUGGAUUGCGUUACGACGAACUACUGCGAAAGCAUUUGCCAAAGAUGUUUUCAUUGAUCAAGAACGAAAGUAUGGGGAUCGAAGACGCUUAGAUACCGUCGUAGUCUAUACCAUAAACUAUGCCAACUAGAGAUUGGUGGGGUUCUCCUAUUUGGCUCCAUCAAGCAUCUUAUGAGGAAUCAAAGUCUUUGGGUUCCGGGGGGAGUAUGGUCCGCAAGGCUGAAACUUAAAGGGAAUUGAC